RNAcentral lists this ribosomal RNA (753 nucleotides) under uncultured Comamonadaceae bacterium. RNAcentral describes it as "bacterial SSU rRNA". It matches the Rfam family "Bacterial small subunit ribosomal RNA", at positions 28 to 776 of the family's 1533-position model. The record is from RNAcentral. Lineage: Bacteria; Pseudomonadati; Pseudomonadota; Betaproteobacteria; Burkholderiales; Comamonadaceae.
AUUGAACGCUGGCGGCAUGCCUUACACAUGCAAGUCGAACGGCAGCACGGGAGCAAUCGUGGUGGCGAGUGGCGAACGGGUGAGUAAUACAUCGGAACGUGCCCAAUCGUGGGGGAUAACGCAGCGAAAGCUGUGCUAAUACCGCAUACGAUCUACGGAUGAAAGCAGGGGAUCGCAAGACCUUGCGCGAAUGGAGCGGCCGAUGGCAGAUUAGGUAGUUGGUGAGGUAAAGGCUCACCAAGCCGUCGAUCUGUAGCUGGUCUGAGAGGACGACCAGCCACACUGGGACUGAGACACGGCCCAGACUCCUACGGGAGGCAGCAGUGGGGAAUUUUGGACAAUGGGCGAAAGCCUGAUCCAGCCAUGCCGCGUGCAGGAUGAAGGCCUUCGGGUUGUAAACUGCUUUUGUACGGAACGAAACGGCCUUUUCUAAUAAAGAGGGCUAAUGACGGUACCGUAAGAAUAAGCACCGGCUAACUACGUGCCAGCAGCCGCGGUAAUACGUAGGGUGCAAGCGUUAAUCGGAAUUACUGGGCGUAAAGCGUGCGCAGGCGGUUAUGUAAGACAGUUGUGAAAUCCCCGGGCUCAACCUGGGAACUGCAUCUGUGACUGCAUAGCUAGAGUACGGUAGAGGGGGAUGGAAUUCCGCGUGUAGCAGUGAAAUGCGUAGAUAUGCGGAGGAACACCGAUGGCGAAGGCAAUCCCCUGGACCUGUACUGACGCUCAUGCACGAAAGCGUGGGGAGCAAGCAGG